GAUGAAGAACGUAGCGAAAUGCGAUACGUAAUGUGAAUUGCAGAAUUCCGUGAAUCAUCGAAUCUUUGAACGCACAUUGCACCCGGUGGUAUUCCGCCGGGUAUGCCUGUCUGAGCGUCAUUUCUGCCCUCCAGCCCGGCUGGGUGUUGGGCGCUGUCCCCCCGGGGACACGCCCCAAAGGCAGUGGCGGCGCCGCGUCGGGUCCUCGAGCGUAUGGGGCUUUGUCACCCGCUCGGGACGGACUCGUCGGCGCUGGUCUUCCUCCAGGCGACCCUUCGGGGCUCGUCUUCCUUCGGUUGACCUCGGAUCAGGUAGGGUUACCCGCUGAACUUAAGCAUAUCAAUAAGCGGAGGA
Molecule: unclassified non-coding RNA, 354 nt
Filed under: soil metagenome
Description: partial contains 5.8S ribosomal RNA, internal transcribed spacer 2, and large subunit ribosomal RNA
Rfam family: 5.8S ribosomal RNA (bases 1-120)
Source: RNAcentral